GAUGAACGCUGGCGGCGUGCCUAAUACAUGCAAGUCGAGCGAACGGACGAGAAGCUUGCUUUUCUGAUGUUAGCGGCGGACGGGUGAGUAACACGUGGAUAACCUACCUAUAAGACUGGGAUAACUUCGGGAAACCGGAGCUAAUACCGGAUAAUAUUUUGAACCGCAUGGUUCAAUAGUGAAAGACGGUCUUGCUGUCACUUCUAGAUGGUUCCGCGCUGCAUUAGCUAGUUGGUAAGGUAAAGGCUUACCAAGGCUACGUUGCAUAGCCGACCUGAGAGGGUGGUCGGCCACACUGGAACUGAGACACGGUCCAGACUCCUACGGGAGGCAGCAGUAGGGAAUCUUCCGCAAUGGGCGAAAGCCUGACGGAGCAACGCCGCGUGAGUGAUGAAGGUCUUCGGAUCGUAAAACUCUGUUAUUAGGGAAGAACAUAUGUGUAAGUAACUGUGCGCGUCUUGACGGUACCUAAUCAGAAAGCCACGGCUAACUACGUG
RNAcentral lists this ribosomal RNA (497 nucleotides) under uncultured bacterium. RNAcentral's name for it is "partial 16S ribosomal RNA". It matches the Rfam family "Bacterial small subunit ribosomal RNA", at positions 28 to 507 of the family's 1533-position model. The record is from RNAcentral.